GCUCUCUGCUUACAUAAAUAUAGAGAGUCGGGCCUGCCCAGUGAAUUUUUAAACGGCCGCGGUACUCUGACCGUGCAAAGGUAGCAUAAUCAUUUGCCUUAUAAUUGAAGGCUAGUAUGAAUGGUUUGACGAGAACAAUACUGUCUCCUUUUUAUUUUCAAGAACUUAACUUUUAGGUGAAGAGGCCUAAAUUUUAUUGAAGGACAAGAAGACCCUAUCGAGCUUAAAAGACAUUAUAGAAGUUUAUAUAUUUUUAAAUAAAUUUUCUAUUUAGCUUUUUAGUUGGGGCGACUAAGGAACAAAAAAAGCUUCUUGCUGAUAAUAAGCAGUCAUGUUUAGAUCCGAUAAUAAUCGAUCAAAGAAAUUAGUUACCGUAGGGAUAACAGCAUAAUCUCUCUUGAGAGACCUAAUCGAAAGAGGGGGUUGUGACCUCGAUGUUGGACUAGAAUAUCCUAAAGAUGCAGAAGUCUUUGAGGGUCGGUCUGUUCGACCGUUAAAAUUCU
This 503-nucleotide ribosomal RNA is filed under the name Juga yrekaensis yrekaensis. Its description in RNAcentral is "partial 16S ribosomal RNA". It matches the Rfam family "Bacterial large subunit ribosomal RNA", at positions 1818 to 2597 of the family's 2925-position model. Lineage: Eukaryota; Metazoa; Mollusca; Gastropoda; Semisulcospiridae. The record is from RNAcentral.